CCUACGGGAGGCAGCAGUGAGGAAUAUUGGUCAAUGGACGAGAGUCUGAACCAGCCAAGUAGCGUGAAGGAUGACUGCCCUAUGGGUUGUAAACUUCUUUUAUAUGGGAAUAAACUGUUCCACGUGUGGGCUUUUGUAUGUACCAUAUGAAUAAGGAUCGGCUAACUCCGUGCCAGCAGCCGCGGUAAUACGGAGGAUCCGAGCGUUAUCCGGAUUUAUUGGGUUUAAAGGGAGCGUAGGUGGAUUGUUAAGUCAGUUGUGAAAGUUUGCGGCUCAACCGUAAAAUUGCAGUUGAAACGGGCAGUCUUGAGUACAGUAGAGGUGGGCGGAAUGCGUGGUGUAGCGGUGAAAUGCUUAGAUAUCACGAAGAACUCCGAUUGCGAAGGCAGCUCACUGGACUGCAACUGACACUGAGGCUCGAAAGUGUGGGUAUCAAACAGGAUUAGAUACCCCAGUAGUC
RNAcentral lists this ribosomal RNA (460 nucleotides) under uncultured bacterium. Its description in RNAcentral is "partial 16S ribosomal RNA". It matches the Rfam family "Bacterial small subunit ribosomal RNA", at positions 338 to 795 of the family's 1533-position model. The record is from RNAcentral.